Molecule: ribosomal RNA, 271 nt
Filed under: uncultured bacterium
Lineage: Bacteria
Description: partial 16S ribosomal RNA
Rfam family: Bacterial small subunit ribosomal RNA
Source: RNAcentral
UACAGAGGUGGCAAGCGUUGUUCGGAAUUACUGGGCGUAAAGGGCGCGUAGGCGGCCUUGUAAGUCCCGUGUGAAAUCCCUCGGCUCAACUGAGGAACUGCACGGGAAACUGCUUGGCUUGAGUUCGGGAGAGGGAAGCGGAAUUCCGGGUGUAGCGGUGAAAUGCGUAGAUAUCCGGAGGAACACCGGUGGCGAAGGCGGCAUCCUGGACCAAUACUGACGCUGAGGAGCGAAAGCCAGGGGAGCAAACGGGAUUAGAUACCCCGGUAGU